RNAcentral lists this ribosomal RNA (371 nucleotides) under uncultured organism. RNAcentral's name for it is "bacterial SSU rRNA". It matches the Rfam family "Bacterial small subunit ribosomal RNA", at positions 526 to 896 of the family's 1533-position model. The record is from RNAcentral.
CGUAGGGUGCGAGCGUUAAUCGGAAUUACUGGGCGUAAAGCGUGCGCGGGCGGUUUUGUAAGACAGGCGUGAAAUCCCCGGGCUCAACCUGGGAACUGCGCUUGUGACUGCAAGGCUAGAGUACGGCAGAGGGGGUGGAAUUCCACGUGUAGCAGUGAAAUGCGUAGAGAUGUGGAGGAACACCAAUGGCGAAGGCAGCCCCCUGGGUCGAUACUGACGCUCAUGCACGAAAGCGUGGGUAGCAAACAGGAUUAGAUACCCUGGUAGUCCACGCCCUAAACGAUGUCAACUAGGUGUUGGGUGGGUAAAACCAUUUAGUACCGGAGCUAACGCGUGAAGUUGACCGCCUGGGGAGUACGGCCGCAAGGUUA